This is a long non-coding RNA of Dendrobium catenatum, 551 nucleotides long. RefSeq lists it as uncharacterized. The transcript is spliced from 2 exons. NCBI's taxonomy places the organism in Eukaryota, Viridiplantae, Streptophyta, Magnoliopsida, Asparagales, Orchidaceae. The record is from RefSeq and is a predicted model, not a curated record.
UAGGUUGAGUGACAACUAUACUACUAUAUAAGAAGCAAAUCCUUUGGAUAGAGUAUGGGUUAGAGAGCCAUCUUCCCACUAUGAAACUUAGCCUUCUCUGAUAUAUGGAUGCAAACAUACUUGUCAUGUGGAGCCUCCCCAAGCCUCAACAGACUGAUCAACUAGUGCAACCCCGUGACAAUUUCUAACUCUCAUAGGAGCAUUCAGCUCAGAAGCGGGUUACAAGUUUGAAAUAUGUUGAAGAGUGACAUGAGAUAUUAGGAAGGGCAGUGCAAGGAAGCAUUCUUAGUUCAACGGCUAAAAUCUCUCAAUAAUAUAUGGAACAAAACCCCACAUCUAAGAUAGGAUAGAUGAAGCUAUGAGGUAGCAUCACCGCAGGCUAGCGAGCAUCACAGCUCAACUUGACAGUAUCUCCUCCAAGAGUAGGCAUCUUAUGAGAGGGAUUAAGAUCGCUUGUCACUACUAUGUCAUAGCUUUGAGGCUCUUAUUAUUUUUUUACUUUUUCUUGUUGGAAAACAAAACUAUAAAUCUGAUAUUCGUAUCUUUUUUUU